Molecule: ribosomal RNA, 663 nt
Filed under: uncultured cyanobacterium
Lineage: Bacteria; Bacillati; Cyanobacteriota
Description: bacterial SSU rRNA
Rfam family: Bacterial small subunit ribosomal RNA
Source: RNAcentral
CGGACGGGUGAGUAACGCGUGAGAAUCUACCCUCAGGUCGGGGACAACCACUGGAAACGGUGGCUAAUACCGGAUGUGCCGAGAGGUGAAAGGCUUGCUGCCUGGGGAAGAGCUUGCGUCUGAUUAGCUAGUUGGUAGUGUAAGAGACUACCAAGGCGACGAUCAGUAGCUGGUCUGAGAGGAUGAUCAGCCACACUGGGACUGAGACACGGCCCAGACUCCUACGGGAGGCAGCAGUGGGGAAUUUUCCGCAAUGGGUGAAAGCCUGACGGAGCAAUACCGCGUGAGGGAGGAAGGCUCUUGGGUUGUAAACCUCUUUUCUCAGGGAAGAAAAAAAUGACGGUACCUGAGGAAUAAGCAUCGGCUAACUCCGUGCCAGCAGCCGCGGUAAUACGGAGGAUGCAAGCGUUAUCCGGAAUGAUUGGGCGUAAAGGGUCCGCAGGUGGCAUUGAAAGUCUGCUGUUAAAGAGUCUAGCUCAACUAGAUAAGAGCAGUGGAAACUACAAAGCUAGAGUUUGGUCGGGGCAGAAGGAAUUCCUGGUGUAGCGGUGAAAUGCGUAGAUAUCAGGAAGAACACCAGUGGCGAAGGCGUUCUGCUAGGCCGAGACUGACACUGAGGGACGAAAGCUAGGGGAGCGAAUGGGAUUAUAUACCCCAGUAGUC